CCGCUCACUGAUAGGUAAUCCGCAGUGAAGCGGUCACAUGGUAGGAUCACAUGACCGUGACGUCAGGUCCUUUCCGCGGAUAGGAACUAGCCGCUACCGAUGGCCUAUAUGGGUGCCGAGUGCGAGCAGGAUAAAAAGUUUAGGGUUCAUCGCGAUAGUUUUACCAGUAAUUUGCUACAUGAAGGCACACAGGAUGAUUGUAUUGGUAGCAAUAAAUUUUCUGCAAAUGAACGAGCAGCAGUAAAUAGGGCAUGUACGAUGAAGGAUUUUGAAAAGCAAAUAGCUGAACUGAAAAAAGAGAACUUCAACUUAAAACUACGAAUAUAUUUCCUGGAAGAACAAGUGCAACAGAAGUGUGACAACAGCAGUGAAGACUUGUAUAGAAUGAAUAUAGAAUUGAAAGUUGAAUUAGAAACUUCAAAACACGAUCUACAAGAGAAACAACAUCUGCUGAUCAAAGCCUCGAAAGCACUGGAAAAUCUUGCUGAAGAAAAUAGGUCUAAAAUCCUUCAGAUGAAGGAAGAUUUCAAUAAGAAUCUGCAAGCAUUAGAAUUUGAACUAAACCAGAAAAUUAGUGUUCUAGAAAAGGAAGUAUUAACAGCAAAUGAAGAAGCUGAUAAAAUUGCUGAAUUGUUGGAUCAGGAGCGAGAGCAAAGAUUUGCUUUAGAAAGUAAAGUUUUAGACUGCCAGGCACUUUAUUCCACACUCGGUGAAAGAGCCAGGACUAUUGAAAAUGGGAAUCCACAUCUGAAUUCUAAGGAUUCUUCAGUUGUUCAGUUUGAAAGUCAGAUGUCUGGCUGUGAGAGGUGUAAGAAAUACUUGAUCCAGAAGGAUGGUCUUGGAAUGGAUCUGUCCCCUUCAGAUCAGAAAUCUGGUGUAGGCCUGGAUCAGAACGAAAUACCAGAGGAUAGCGAUCAUAUAGCAUGUGACCUACAGAGCAAACUAGAUGAUAUGGAAAAGAAAAUAAGUGUACUCCAACAAAAACUUGGUGAAAAAGAAGCAGCACUUGUGCUACAUGAGGAAAAUGCAGUCAAAAGAGAUAAGACUAUUCAAGGCCUUACACUUGCUCUAAAGAAUAAGGAAAAAGAGGAACACCGAAAAUUUGAUUUUAAGACUGGUCUUAAAGAAUACAAGAAAUCAUAUUCACAGUCUGUGAACACAGAAGGAAAUCAAAAAGAACAUAACUCCGUUAUUCAGAGUAAGCUGGAAGACGAAAUCCAGUGUAACCAACAACAGAACACUAUUCUGCAAGACCAAGUCAACAAAUCAACAUUAAAAAAUGAUGAAUCUUCUUUAUUUUUUGGAGAUGAGACUUCUUAUUUAAGCAUAUGCUUAGAUCAUUCAGGUCUGAGAGGUGACCAGUUAUCAAUGGAGGAUUUACAAAACAUGGUGGUACAACUUAUGCACAAGAUUAAAGAAAUGCAAAAAAGCCCAGUUUUGGAGAAGGCUACUGGAUGCUCCGGUUAUUUAAAGAGCAAUGAUAACGAGACCGACUCUUCUACCAUGUGCAAUUUUGCAAAGAAAUCCAGAAUUCCCAUUCUUCAAAAAGAAACUUUGUGCAUGAAAAAAGUUCCAGAUAAUAGAAGAACGUUUUCUAAGACCAUCCUCCAAGAAGAGUUGCAAACCUGCAAGUUGGAAAAUGACAAAAUUGCUGAAGAAUUAUGGCAUGCACAGGAAGAGAUUGAGACUCUCAAGGCACACAUAAUCCUGUUAAAGGGCAAUGGCAUCACACCUCAGAGAGACCAUCAUGAACAUCCAUUUGAUAUGGACAAGACAAUCACAAACUCUGUAAGCUUAGUUGAAACUGAUGAAAUCAACAAUGCUGAGCAGGAAUUAUGUGCUUUUCAGUAUGACAAGAAUGCUGAAAGUGUGUUACCGCUAGUUACUGACUGCUAUGACAACGGCACUAAUAAUAAAAAUGAGAUGCAGUUUAUAGAUAAUUGUGUUGCUGAAACAUUAUUAAACGUUGAAAAAGAAAACAACUCCCCUAACAAUAAAUGUGAUCUCGAAGAUCUCUCCAAUGAGCCUCCAAAUUACAGAUAUGAUUUGUUGGUACAAGCUCAAGCUCGAGAGUUGUCAGUUCAGCGACAAAAGAUUAAGGAGAGCCACAUUUUAAGCAUUACAUGUUAUAAGAACUGUAUGAAAGUUUUAAAAGCUUUUGAUGAACUGCUGGAGGCCAGUGAUGUGGAUUACUAUGUUGCUGAGGCUUUUCAAGCACAUCUAAACAAGUUUCUUCAACGGAUUAAGAAAAUGGAAUACAAACUUGGCUAUGAUGAUGACACUUACAAUGACCAUUCGGGCAACACACCUUCAUGCCAGCUGCCUGGACAAGAUUUGCAGGGAGAUGAAAGUGGCUGUCAAGUUUUAGCCGUACUUAAUCAGUUAUUAGAAGGAGGCAAUAUGCUGCGAGAAAUGGAAGACUGUCUUGACCACUGUUUUCAGUCUUCAGCUGUACAAGUCUCAGAGGAAUUCCAAAAAAUGUUUUAUGAGAUGCUGCAUAAGACACAACAGUCUUUUGAAGAUGCCAGUCACCUGCUGAGGCUAUAUUGGAGGGAGCCUUUACCUAAUGAUUUGAAAUGCUCCCAAGCUAUUUAUGAGGAGGAAGAAAUCAAUAAUGAUAGCCUCAGACUUCAGAAUAAAGUGUUAGAAGAUAAAGCAUUUUCAAUUCAAGGUUUCUUUCAUGAAAAGCAUGCAGAGGAAGAAACGGACAAAAGUAUUUUGGAUCAUUCUGGGGGCGUGUCCGACCGCGCUGAGGAGAAGACGCUCCUUCUUGGUGUUCCCGGGGUCCAGCUCCCACAAAGCACCCUGUUGCUGCGGAAAAGCCCCACUGACUGCGCAAUACUGCACCGGAGGGGCCAUUGAACACCCCAGCUGCCGACCGCCGCAUAAAUCUCCCUCCCAGGUGCCGCUGCACCACGGUUUGACGCGGAGCAGUGCACAAACAGCACCAGCACUUGGCAACCCUCAGGGAAGGCACAACAGAGUAUGGUAAGUGCAGCCCAGACCCUGGGGCACCCUCCUUGCUGGUAUCAACACAAACUGAGCUGUUAUAACACACUAAGAUAAGAGACCACGCAGGCUGUACAACAUACAGUCAAGCACCAGGCAGGAGACGUGAGCAGUCCCCAGGGCAUACAUACCUGGCCCAAUCCUCAUUGCACCAAUUAGCUAGGCUGCAGGAGUACCCUGCAGCAAGGUAGGUCCCCCUACCUCAGGACAAUUUUUAGCAGCCAAGGCAAAUUUAAAGGGGCUGUACAGUAUAUAUAAUACCUGCCGAAUCUAUACGGGGCAAUUGACUCACAGCCAGCCUGUGACCAAAAACCAGGAUAAACCUGAAACUCAAAGAAAAUAAAGGGCAUGUGAGUUACAACACUGCCUACUGCAUCCAACCUAUUCCUGGCCAAAUUGUCGUGUGAGACAGGACAGAUAUUGCUAUUAGAUGCUACUAUGGACUGCAGGACAUCACUCUCCACUAAAAUAGAAGUUAAAAUUGACCUCUCGCUGCUCCUGGCUGAUCUCCAGAAUAUGCAUGAGAAAAUUGAGUCUUGAGCCUGGAAGACACCUGCAAUCCCUUCAGCAAUAGCUCGCAUGGAAACGAAACUCAAAGCUUGCACUGAUAAGCUGGACGACCAUGAGAACCGGCUGCGACGCAACAAUGUGUUUAUUGUGAGGCUCUCCGAGAGAGCAGAAGGGAAUGACCCAGUAGCCUUUGCCGAAAAAUGGCUGAGGGACACUUUCCCCACAGCCACCUUCUCAUCCUUCUAUGCGGUCGAACAAGCCCAUCACGUGCCAGUCCUCCUCCAGGGGCACCACCCAGACCCUUCCUAAUUCGACUGCUGAACUCCAGAGACCGGGACGCCAGACAAAGCCCAGACAUCAUAGUGGAAGGGAAAAAGGUAUACAUCUUCCCAGACUACUGAGCGGAACUUCAGAGGCAACGGGGCACCUUCACAGCCUGCGGGAGGCUAAUCUGAAAUAUGGCAUGCCUUAUCCGGCCAAGCAGAGGAUCCAAGCCGGUGAUAGAAUCAUGUUCUUCCACCUCGGCUCAAGAGGUAAACGAGUGGCUGGAUGCACAGAGAAAUCCGUCCCCCAGAGGCAGCCCUAAUCCCCCCAACUAAGAUGAUGGCCAACAGAAGGCGCUGCAGCAGGUGAGACCACUUCUAUUUACACUCCCCUGACUUAGCCAGACACCAUAUACUAAAACAUAUGGUUGAGACCCUAUGCCUAUAGCAACCAGCCUACUAGUGUUGCCUCUCUCACUGGUGAGGUAUGAGAACUCCCAUUGUUGGGUCAGCUUAGAACCCUCUUGGUUUUAGUAAAUAGCAAAAUAGCAAAUAUUAGCAAAUAUUACUAACUGGGCACUUUUACAUGCUCUGCAUCCCAUACCGAACUACACCAGUGUAAGAGACCCCUUAGCGGAAAUCGAUGCAGCAGCACCUUUAUUUCAAUUACUUUAACUAAACAUAUUCUGACAUUGCUCGUUCAGGCUUAUGCCUUACGCCCCAUGCCUCCAGGCAAGGGAGGACUGAUGGCAGCGUCCACUUACAUUUAGUACCCAAAGACAGAUGGAUGACAGCGGCUGGGGCGCCAGAGGCCCUGAAUAUGGGGUUGUUAUUAAAGGUCUCUUUUUGCUGUACUUCUGGAAUUUUGUAGACACUUGUGUUUCACUAUCAAAGAGACAUUUAACUACAAGGGACUCUUUUCAACCCAUUAUGACUAUAUUAUUUAGGUAUCACAGAGACUCAAACUUUACCCCUGUCUUAUCUAGUUUCAAAGUUACCUGUCCUUGGGUAACCAUUCCCCCGGUUACAAUGUUUUGGGAACAAUACCUGCCAAGUUACUGGGUCAGGUUGGGAGGGAAGGGUUUUAUGGGAUGUUGUUAUUAUGUUGAUUAUUUUUGGUUGCUAUGGUUCCUGCUUCGGCAUAUGACAAACUGUACUGCAAUGAAUAUUUUAAACCAGCUCACCUGUAAAAUAGAAUUCACAAAUGCUAAACAUGGGGGCCCACUUAAGUUUCUUUCCUGGAACAUCAGGGGGCUGAAUUCUAAAUUCAACAGAGCCUUAAUGUUUGACUAUGUCAAGAAGUAUGCACCUGAUGUUCUUCUCCUACAGGAAACACACCUGGUGGGCCAAAGAUUAAUGGCACUUAAGAAGCUGUGGGUCGCACACUCAUAUCAUGCCACCUUUUCUACUCAUGCCUGGGGUACCUCCAUUCUGGUUUGCAAAGUGGCGUUGACAUAUAAAGUUUUAAAGACAGCAAGAAGCAAUCUGGAGUUAGG
This is an RNA transcript of Xenopus laevis (African clawed frog), 5278 nucleotides long. It is a transcript of the gene named CDK5 regulatory subunit associated protein 2 L homeolog, with no coding region annotated. The record is from RefSeq and is a predicted model, not a curated record. Lineage: Eukaryota; Metazoa; Chordata; Amphibia; Anura; Pipidae. The transcript has 22 exons.